Molecule: non-coding RNA, 280 nt
Organism: Arachis ipaensis
Lineage: Eukaryota; Viridiplantae; Streptophyta; Magnoliopsida; Fabales; Fabaceae
Source: RefSeq, a predicted model, not a curated record
GCUUCGCGGUGGUGGGUGGCUGGGUGCGCAGGUCGGCAGGUGUGGAGAUUUGGAGAAGAGGGAGCGAUGAGUACUGACUAGGUUAGGGAUUGGGGAUUUGGGGGUUAGGGUAGACGCUCACACUCGCACAGUUUCGUUUGGGGGGUGAGGGUCUGGGGGGUGGGGGUUAGUAAUGUUUAGGGUUUUUUUCCUAACCGGUUCAGUUCGGUUCGAUUAGGAUUUUCAGAUUCAAAACCGAAAACCGAACCGAACCGCACAGAAAACAGCAAAAUAAGUUUUU